Molecule: ribosomal RNA, 435 nt
Filed under: bacterium enrichment culture clone ALO1_GLFRUDD03GGRV1
Lineage: Bacteria
Description: bacterial SSU rRNA
Rfam family: Bacterial small subunit ribosomal RNA
Source: RNAcentral
GAGUUUGAUCUGGCUCAGAUUGAACGCUGGCGGCAUGCCUUACACAUGCAAGUCGAACGGCAGCACGGGAGCUUGCUCCUGGUGGCGAGUGGCGAACGGGUGAGUAAUGCAUCGGAACGUAUCCUGGAGUGGGGGAUAACGUAGCGAAAGUUACGCUAAUACCGCAUAUUCUGUGAGCAGGAAAGCGGGGGACCUUCGGGCCUCGCGCUCUUGGAGCGGCCGAUGUCGGAUUAGCUAGUUGGUGAGGUAAAGGCUCACCAAGGCGACGAUCCGUAGCAGGUCUGAGAGGAUGAUCUGCCACACUGGAACUGAGACACGGUCCAGACUCCUACGGGAGGCAGCAGUGGGGAAUUUUGGACAAUGGGGGCAACCCUGAUCCAGCCAUGCCGCGUGAGUGAAGAAGGCCUCGGUUGUAAGUACGUCUUUCGUCGAGGG